RNAcentral lists this long non-coding RNA (4485 nucleotides) under Sus scrofa (pig). Its description in RNAcentral is "lncRNA (ENSSSCG00055019993.1)". Lineage: Eukaryota; Metazoa; Chordata; Mammalia; Artiodactyla; Suidae. The record is from RNAcentral.
UUUUUCAUGAGAAUUUCUUCCUGUGUUAAGAGAGGUGUCAGUUUCCAAAUACUAGGUUGCAUGUUUGUAACGGAGCUUUGUAUUGCAUUGUGAAAACCUCUGCACCUUGGUUGGCAUGGUCACAUGUCUGUUGACAGAUGUUUCAAAGUUCUGUGGGAAAUGUGGGUUCAAUUCGACACCUUCAAGGCCCUCCGAGCCUCUUUCCCUGACAACAUAGUGUGUUUCGAGAUAGGGAGCCAGCCUUGGGUGCAGCCCUAAAAACCAAAAAUAAAAUAAGAAUAAAAUAAGAUAGGGAGCCAGCUCUGGGAACAGAUCAUCGUUAUCUGUCAGCUCAAUAAAGCCAUCAAUGUUGGCAACUGGAAGAGAUGCUAACAUAUUUCAACUGGUUAAAAACAAACUGUGAGGAAUUCCCGUUGUGGCGCAGUGGUUAAUGAAUCCAACUAGGAACCAUGAGGUUGCGGGUUCGACCCCUGGCCUUGCUCGAUGGGUUAAAGGAUCUGACAUUUCUGUGAGCUUCAGUGUAGAUCUCCGAUGCAGCUUGUGUCUGGUGUUGCUGUGGCUGUGGCCAGUGACUGCAGCUCCUAUUUGACCCCUAGCCUGGGAACCUCCAUAUGCCUCGGGGGUGGCCCUAAAAAACAACAACAAAAGCUUGUCGAACAAAUGAAUGAAGCUGGUAGAAAGUGUUCAUAGUUCUCUGGUGGCUCAGUGGGCUAAGGAUCUGGCAUUGCCAUGGUGGCUCGGGUUUGAUCCCUGGCCCCGGGAACUGUGCAUUAAAUUCACUUUGGCUUAUUACACAGAAGGACAAAAGAAAAUUCGUUCUCUGCAGCUUGAACAACCACUGAUACCGAACGAAAUAUAAGGGCUUCGUAAAGUGUAAACCACUGGACAAAUGGAGUUAUAAUCAUAAUGUGACAUCAUGCUAGACGCAGUGUGCUUCAUAAAAAAGGACAGGACGACGUCCCUGCCCUGGUGAAUAAAUACAUCAGCCAGUUGAGAUGCUCACAGAAGACCCCUGACCAAGAGAAAAUGUUCAUUGUAGGUACACUACACUAAAUUUAUGAGACUAUUGGAGACUUUUAUACAGAGAAAGUAUUUAAGAAAGUAUUAUCAAUUUUAAGAAUAGAACUUUGAAAAUGUAUGUUGUUUUUAAAUAAUAAUACAAAAUUAGUGUUUAUCAAAAAGUAGCUCUAUAUGGAAAAAAGUGAAUGCCUUGUCAAUAAAGUUUAAUUUAGUGUAAACCAAAUGGAUCCCAUUUCUGGUUUCUCUCUGUGCACAGUGAAAUUAUCCACCUGCUGUAAGUACACAAGAGUGGCAUCUAGUGGCCACCAGCAUAAACUACAGCUCCUUGAAAGAUCAAAUCACAGACAGCCUGUCUUUUCAUCCAUUUUGCGUCUUAUCAAAUUUCCAGAUUUCAUUAUUUAUUUUUAAUGGAGACUUAUAUGGAGUUGUCCAGAUCUGGUCUUGUUGAGUUAGGAUGUUAAACAACAAUAAUAACAAAUACCACCUACUUUCUAACGACAAGAUAGAAUAUAAUCUCAGAAUAAAGGAAAGGUACUUCAAAUGGCAAAUAUUUAGCUUUAUAAAAAAUGUACCAUAUUGUCUUUUCUUUCCUCAGUAGGGAAAUGAGACCUGGAAAACUUGAUGGCCAGGUACCAGUGCACAGCCCGAUCAUUAGGAACUGCUACACAGUUGACAAAUUCUUUCUAUAGCAUCCUCUGCUUAGUACUCCCAGCAGUGGGAGAGGUGCCCCCUCCCACUACCUCUGUCCAGCCUGGCUAGGUAGGAGGUUUCUCUUCAAGUGAGAGUAAAAUACACAGCCUCUACCCAGGGUUCUUGAUUUUGGCCUGGGGUGGGUGUCUCCAAGAAAAGUCUAAACCCUUUGUUAUUUUGAUGUGUGAAAGCAGCUCUCAAAUCCCCAGUGCAAACCUCCUUGAAAUCUCUUCCCUAAACCCCGUUUUCCUUCAACCAGUAUUUACUCUCAGCUGGCAGAGCAAUAAAGUACAUUUUAUGCCUUCCAGUCAUAAAAUGUCUGAUUGCUACAAAGUUAAGAUUAUAGACAUGCAGGAAAAUAUCCCGUGAAAGAUUAGAAAUCUGAAAACUUCUUUCCCUAGGCUAACCAACUUAGAGCAUUACAGAGGUUUAUGAUUCAACUGCAUGGCAGACAGGCAGCAGGCACCUCAGGGCUGGAGUCUCUUAUAUUACAAAUUAUCUCACUUGUAGCUCUAGGUCAAAUCUCCUCCCCCACGCCUCCUGACUCAAUGAAUAAUGCUGAGCCCUUUCAAUGAUCACACUCCAUUACUGAUUUAAGUUUCUUGUUCUUGGGGUGCUUUCAACUGGAACAGAUGGAUUAGUGUGCCUGCCCUUUAAUUCGUUUUAGCUUUGAGUAAUUAAAAGGAAAAAAAACCACACAACACGAAUUAUCAACAGUGGUGAAUAAGACGAUUUGUUCCUCUUUGGUGUGAAAACCUGAGAGUAGGCAUUCUAGGGCUGGUAGGAUGUUCCAGACAAUGCUAGGAACCUAGGCUCCUUCUGUCUUGUUCCACCAUGCAUGGUUUCCACUCUCUAGGUCACUCUAUGGCCCAAUAAGACUUCUGUUGCUCCAGCCAUUACAUCCACAUUCUGGCCAGAUGAAAGGAGGAAAAGCAAAGAAUAGUAUUCGCUCCCUAUUUAAGGACAGUUCCCAGACAUUACACCCACUUUUUUGGUUUGUUUUGUUUUGUUUUGUUUUGGGUUUGUUUGUUUUGUCUAGCACUGCACCUGCAGCAUAAGGAGGUUUCCAGGCUAAGGGCCAAAUCAGAGCUACAGCUGCCAGCCUACGUCACAGCCACAACCUCACAGGAUCCGAGCCACAUCUGGGACCUACACCAUAGCUCACAGCAAUGCCAGAUCCUUAACUCACUGAUGGAGGCCAGGGAUAGAACCUGCAGCCUCACGGUUACUACUCAGAUUCCUUUCCACUGCUCCGCAAUGGAAACUCCUCCAUCCACCCCACCCCACCCCACUUUUACUGGCCAUUCCUAGCUCUAAGGAAGGCUGCGUUGUAAUUGUUCUGAUAAUAAGUGAAAGGGAAACCACGAUUGGAACAACCAGUUUUGUUGACAACUAGCUUGUGACACAUGUACAAGAUCAGAUACAGAUCAAAUGAGCACUAAUCUAUCCUGGUGGUCAGACUCUUGGAAAACCACUAAAUACCAAAUUGUGUAGGACUCCACAUCUCAAAUUUCCUAAAACAAGAUCAACGACUAUUACCAGUGGGCAAAAUUGGGACCAACGAGAACAUACCCAAUAGAAUCACGACUGUCCAAGCAAAAGGGUUGUUUUAACUCAGAUCAGUGUUUCUCUGCAGGAGUUCUUUCCCAGCAUUUCUCAGAAAUAUUACGUUUUUACAGAGCCCGAAUCUUAAUAAACGUUGAGGAAUCUAGAAACCUGGGAAAACUAAUCUGUGAGAAUUAAAACUUAAUGAUCAACAUAGAGCUGUCACUUGUUCAAAGAAAUCCACCAAUCCCAAAUCAAAAGUGACACUAGAACACACUAAAGCAUGUAUUGGAAAAAUCAAGGUUGACAGGUGCUGAAUGGAAGGGAGCAAGAAGGAGAGAAGCAGUCACAAUACAAUCAGCGGUGCCUGUACCCGUUGCCACCUUCUAAGCAGAGUGUCCUGGGGCUGGCUCACACAAGAGAUAGAGAGCCAGCCAGAAAGAGCAUCUCUUUCUGACCCUCGGUGACAUCACACCAGUAACUUGAAAUUGACCCAAGUGGGAAUAUUUAUACCUCCUCUCUCGGAAAUUGGCAAAAACUACAUGUCACAACGGUUUUUUUCUUCCCAGAGAGUCAGUGUACCAGUACUCACUGGUCCUAAGUGUGUGUUUGUGGCUUGGUCUCUUUCUAACGGUAAGUCACUUUUACAAAUAAAAUAAAUCUAGGUUCAUACACAUAAGGUACUUAUACGUAUCCUAUGAGUGGUGUCAGAAAACAUCGCAAACUUUGGAGGCAAAAUAAGACCUAAUAUUGGCAAUUUCAAUGCCUAAGUCUGUGUAGUGCUAGGACACUUGCUAGUGGGUCUGAACAUUAAUGUUAUUUGAAAACUUCCCAAUAAUGAAGGCUGACAUUUCCGAGGGUCUGAGUACUCACCAUAGGAUGCAGUUCUUUGUAAAUACUUCACAGAAGAGAUGUGAAAAGAAAAAGAUGUGAUUUGUUGUAGAACACUGCAACAUUGAAAUCAGAGACUCUUCUAAAAUCUGGCCAGAGCAACUUUUUUUUUUUUUUUUUUUUUUUUUUUGGAAACCCAAGGGCUGGAUUUAUUUGCCACUAUUCAUUUUCUUUUUUAUUUUAUUUUUUUAUCUUUUGGACUUUUUAGGGCUGUACAUGCAGCAUAUGGAAGUUCCCAGGCUAGGGGUCAAAUCAGAGCUGUAGCCUCUAACCUACACCACAGCCACAGUAAUGCCAGAUCCUUAACCCACUGAGCGAGGCCAGGGAUCGAACCCAUGU